AGAGUUUGACCCUGGCUCAGGAUGAACGCUGGCGGCGUGCCUAACACAUGCAAGUCGAGCGAGAAAUCUUGGAAUGAGACUUCGGUUAAGUGAAGAGAUGGAAAGCGGCGGACGGGUGAGUAACGCGUAGGCAACCUGCCUUAUGCAGAGGGAUAGCCAUUGGAAACGAUGGUUAAAACCUCAUAAAACCAUUUUAUCACAUGGUGAGAUGGUCAAAGAUUUAUCGGCAUAAGAUGGGCCUGCGUCUGAUUAGCUGGUUGGUGGGGUAACGGCCUACCAAGGCGACGAUCAGUAGCCGACCUGAGAGGGUGAACGGCCACAUUGGAACUGAGACACGGUCCAAACUCCUACGGGAGGCAGCAGUGGGGAAUAUUGCACAAUGGGCGAAGGCCUGAUGCAGCAACGCCGCGUGAGCGAAGAAGGUCUUCGGAUCGUAAAGCUCUGUCCUUAGGGAAGAUAAUGACGGUACCUGAGGAGGAAGCCCCGGCUAACUACGUGCCAGCAGCCGCGGUAAUACGUAGGGGGCAAGCGUUAUCCGGAAUUAUUGGGCGUAAAGAGUGCGUAGGUGGUUACCUAAGCAGAGGGUGAAAGGCACUGGCUUAACCAAUGUCAGCCCCCUGAACUGGGUACCUUGAGUGCAGGAGAGGAAAGCGGAAUUCCUAGUGUAGCGGUGAAAUGCGUAGAUAUUAGGAGGAACACCAGUGGCGAAGGCGGCUUUCUGGACUGUAACUGACACUGAGGCACGAAAGUGUGGGGAGCAAACAGGAUUAGAUACCCUGGUAGUCCACACCGUAAACGAUGAGCACUAGGUGUCGGGGUCGCAAGACUUCGGUGCCGGAGUUAACGCAUUAAGUGCUCCGCCUGGGGAGUACGUACGCAAGUAUGAAACCCAAAGGAAUUGACGGGGACCCGCACAAGCGGUGGAGCAUGUGGUUUAAUUCGAAGCAACGCGAAGAACCUUACCAGGUCUUGACAUCCCGAUGACCGGCCCGUAACGGGGCCUUCUCUUCGGAGCAUUGGAGACAGGUGGUGCUUGGUUGUCGUCAGCUCGUGUCGUGAGAUGUUGGGUUAAGUCCCGCAACGAGCGCAACCCUUAUCCUCAGUAGCCAGCAGGUAAAGCUGGGCACUCUGUGGAGACUGCCAGGGAUAACCUGGAGGAAGGUGGGGAUGACGUCAAAUCAUCAUGCCCCUUAUGAUCUGGGCUACACACGUGCUACAAUGGCGUAAACAAAGGGAGGCAAAGCCGCGAGGUGGAGCAAAUCCCAAAAAUAACGUCUCAGUUCGGACUGCAGUCUGCAACUCGACUGCACGAAGCUGGAAUCGCUAGUAAUCGCGAAUCAGAAUGUCGCGGUGAAUACGUUCCCGGGUCUUGUACACACCGCCCGUCACACCAUGGGAGUUGGUAACGCCCGAAGUCAGUGACCCAACCUUUCAGGAGGGAGCUGCUGAAGGCGGGACUGAUAACUGGGGUGAAGUCGUAACAAGGUA
Molecule: ribosomal RNA, 1488 nt
Filed under: metagenome
Description: bacterial SSU rRNA
Rfam family: Bacterial small subunit ribosomal RNA
Source: RNAcentral